Molecule: unclassified non-coding RNA, 336 nt
Filed under: soil metagenome
Description: partial contains 5.8S ribosomal RNA, internal transcribed spacer 2, and large subunit ribosomal RNA
Rfam family: 5.8S ribosomal RNA (bases 1-120)
Source: RNAcentral
GAUGAAGAACGUAGCGAAAUGCGAUACGUAAUGUGAAUUGCAGAAUUCAGUGAAUCAUCGAGUCUUUGAACGCACAUUGCGCCCCUUGGUAUUCCGGGGGGCAUGCCUGUUCGAGCGUCAUUUCAACCCUCAAGCUCUGCUUGGUAUUGGGCUCCGUCCUCCUCGGACGCGCCUCAAAGACCUCGGCGGUGGCGUCUUGCCUCAAGCGUAGUAGAAACACCUCGCUUUGGAGUGCAUGGCGUCGCCCGCCGGACGAAACCUUUUGUAUUUUCUCAAGGUUGACCUCGGAUCAGGUAGGGAUACCCGCUGAACUUAAGCAUAUCAAUAAGCGGAGGA